This 546-nucleotide ribosomal RNA is filed under the name Salmonella enterica subsp. enterica serovar Agona. RNAcentral's name for it is "partial 23S ribosomal RNA". It matches the Rfam family "Bacterial large subunit ribosomal RNA", at positions 678 to 1221 of the family's 2925-position model. The record is from RNAcentral. Lineage: Bacteria; Pseudomonadati; Pseudomonadota; Gammaproteobacteria; Enterobacterales; Enterobacteriaceae.
CGAGUCUUAAUUGGGCGUUAAGUUGCAGGGUAUAGACCCGAAACCCGGUGAUCUAGCCAUGGGCAGGUUGAAGGUUGGGUAACACUAACUGGAGGACCGAACCGACUAAUGUUGAAAAAUUAGCGGAUGACCUGUGGCUGGGGGUGAAAGGCCAAUCAAACCGGGAGAUAGCUGGUUCUCCCCGAAAGCUAUUUAGGUAGCGCCUCGUGAAUUCAUCUCCGGGGGUAGAGCACUGUUUCGGCUAGGGGGCCAUCCCGGCUUACCAACCCGAUGCAAACUGCGAAUACCGGAGAAUGUUAUCACGGGAGACACACGGCGGGUGCUAACGUCCGUCGUGAAGAGGGAAACAACCCAGACCGCCAGCUAAGGUCCCAAAGUCAUGGUUAAGUGGGAAACGAUGUGGGAAGGCCCAGACAGCCAGGAUGUUGGCUUAGAAGCAGCCAUCAUUUAAAGAAAGCGUAAUAGCUCACUGGUCGAGUCGGCCUGCGCGGAAGAUGUAACGGGGCUAAACCAUGCACCGAAGCUGCGGCAGCGACACUCAGGUGU